GACGAACGCUGGCGGCGUGCUUAACACAUGCAAGUCGAGCGGUAAGGCCCUUUCGGGGGUACACGAGCGGCGAACGGGUGAGUAACACGUAAGUAAUCUACCUUCGAGUGGGGAAUAACGUCCGGAAACGGACGCUAAUACCGCAUAAUGCAGCGGCAUCGCAAGAUGACAGUUGUUAAAGAUUUAUCGCUUGAAGAGGAGCUUGCGGCAGAUUAGCUAGUUGGUAAGGUAAUGGCUACCAAGGCUACGAUCUGUAACCGGUCUAAGAGGACGGUCGGUCACACUGACACUGAAUAACGGGUCAGACUCCUAC
RNAcentral lists this ribosomal RNA (313 nucleotides) under uncultured bacterium. RNAcentral's name for it is "bacterial SSU rRNA". It matches the Rfam family "Bacterial small subunit ribosomal RNA", at positions 28 to 342 of the family's 1533-position model. The record is from RNAcentral.